CAGCAGCAGCCGCGGGAAUACAGAGGGUGCGAGCGUUAAUCGGAUUUACUGGGCGUAAAGCGUGCGUAGGCGGCUUCUUAAGUCGGAUGUGAAAUCCCUGAGCUUAACUUAGGAAUUGCAUUCGAUACUGGGAAGCUAGAGUAUGGGAGAGGAUGGUAGAAUUCCAGGUGUAGCGGUGAAAUGCGUAGAGAUCUGGAGGAAUACCGAUGGCGAAGGCAGCCAUCUGGCCUAAUACUGACGCUGAGGUACGAAAGCAUGGGGAGCAAACAGGAUUAGAUACCCCGGUAGUCCCUGUCUCUUAUAA
Molecule: ribosomal RNA, 304 nt
Filed under: uncultured bacterium
Lineage: Bacteria
Description: partial 16S ribosomal RNA
Rfam family: Bacterial small subunit ribosomal RNA
Source: RNAcentral